UAAACCUGCUCCCGGGCUACGGGCGGGAGCCUGCUGGGCGCGCGGCGGGGGGCGCGCGGCGCGAGGAGGGGGCGACGGUGCAGCCAAUCAGAGCGGCGGCCGGCGCACCCCCACGCACCCACCCCGCGGCCCCGCCGCCGCCCUCUUCCUGCCCCUCUGGGUCCGGGAGAGCGGCCGCCCGGAGGGGCGGGGGACCCACACCGGAGGCCGGGCUCGCGUACCCAGGGGUAAUGAGAGGCCCUGAGAUCCCAGAGGUACCAUUCGAGAAGCCUUGGAUGUGUUGAGUUCUCUGCUUCCUGCAGACACACGGAGAGACAGAACCAGAGGGCAACCCACCAGGAAAGCCACUGAGCUGUGUGCACCAAGCCCAUCACUCAAGGAGGAGGAUGACCCAGCAGAUCGGCAAGUGGCCAAGAGGAGCUCCCCACUGCCUUCUCCUCUUAGCACGAGUACAGUGUGGUAUGCCCCCUGACCUCUCUUCCUUCCUCCUCCGGGACUAAGCCAUGACUGGACAUGACAAUAAGGAACUCGUCCUUGCCUGAACCUGUCCUAAGUCAAAACAGCCUGCCUGUCUUGGUCACAGUGUUUUAAUUUCCAUCUCCAUCACCUUCCUUGAUGCGGCACCACUACAAGCAAAUGCCACCGGAAAUGGCCUCUUCUCCCCAGACGCUGGCUCACAAACGGAGCAGCCCCCAGAGGUGAAUUUACCUGCCUUGAGCCCAGGUUCUGGGCUCUCCCACCUGACGCUUCAACCUCCAGCGGAGAAAGGAGUCUCUCUAGGAAAAAGAUCUAGGACCAACUGAGAAGUACAUUUCUAAAUCACCAGUUACUUUAAUGAGUAAGUACUUUGAGUUUUCCCAUUUUAUUUUAAGCAAUACUAUUUCACAUUUCUGACCAGCCUUUCUUAGGAUCCUCAUUUUUGGGGCACUUAAUGUAUAGGAAGGAAUCACCAGCCUAGUCUACUCCACCCCACCUCCACUUAACUGAAGAGUCCUAAAGAGACAACUGUUAUCAUUGUAAUAUUGUCUAAUAAGGGUGCAUGACUGAUAAGCCACUAAAUCUCUAACAGCAUACAGUGCAGGGAAACAGUGAGCUGUGAACUGGAGAAAAGAGAUGACGCUUCUAUUGUCUGUGUAAUCUUAUAUGUUGUGGUUGACCACAAAGGCUUGGCAUCGGUUAUGACUCCUAGCUCUGCUUUUUAUAAAAUGGAUGACCUUGGGCAGAUGACUCAAUCUUUUAAUUUUUGAAUGUGUAAAAUGGAGAAAAUGAAGUACCAAUUUUAUCCAGGUCUUAAGAGGAAUAAAUAGAGGAGCCAAAACACUGAGCAUACUGUUGAGAGGGUACUAAACAAUGUCACUAAAUAAUAAGUUACAUUUUUAAAUAAUAAGAUAAAACUUCAUUUCACUGGACAGUUUCCUUAACUGCUAAGUCCCAUCCCCCAGAUAUGCUGAGAUGACUCAGAAUAACAUUUAACAUCCAUGGAGUUUACAGAUCAUUUCAUUUCCACAAUUAACCCUGAGGUAGGCAGUGCCGUUGGAUUAGUUUUGUUACUGAGGGAUAAGGGGUAAGAGCUCUGUUGAACACACAGUAGGAACAAACUCUUAGGCCCAAACUCAGAUCUGAAGGGAGGAAAGCAUGACUUGGGAAAGGCCUGGUGUGGUGGUGGGUUCAGUUUCCUUGGUCCUCUCCCCUCCUGCACCUGGUUCCUCCUCUUGUUCCCAGCCUUGGGCUUGAAACCUAGGGAAAUCCCACCCAGAGCAGUGGGAACCCAGACCUUCCAGAUCCCUCUACCAAAUAGUGUUGGUAGGGAGCAGACAGAAACUGGCUCUUAGAAUCCCCAUUUUCCCAUUCAAAACCUUUGUUCCCCAUAGAAACCUAUCUGAAUACUAGAUAAUAUUGUUUAAAAAUAAUACCAACAGCAAUAAUAAAAUAAUGUCAUUUUAAAAGCUCUUCUGGACAAUCUCCCUAGAGGAACAUAGGGGCCAUUUCUCCAACUUCAAGCUUAAACACACAGAGGUAAAGUGAGCAUUGGUGGUGGCAGAAACCUUUGGCCUGCUGACUCAGACUAGUGCUCUCAUCGUUGGUUAAAUGGGCUUCUGUGGCCCUUCCUAGAGACAGAAUUUUCAGAAUCCAACCUGUUCAUCAGUUGAAAGUAAUUUAGUCAAUAUUAGCACCCCCACCCCAACCCUUUACAAUCAUGGAAACUUCUUACUCAACUGUUGAAUCUAGAGUAGUUAUGAUCUAGAGUAGUCAAUGUAAGUAUAGAAACAUUUGAAACACAAAUGUGGCUUUAGUGCAGCCCUGACUUUCCCACUGACUCACUCAGAACUGUUAACUAUAAGUGGUAAAAAACAACUAGGUUCACUUCAUACUUGUCCUGUUUUCACAAAGAAAAAUUUAAAGCUGUGCACACAGCAUUGCUUUGUUUUGUUUAUCAACAGAGGAAAAAAAAAGGAAAACUAUAUGCAACUCUUUUUCUUUUUGGUAAAAUUAUUUUUUCCUCUUGAUUUCACUAUAUAUGUAUAGCUGAGGUUAAAAGCUCAGUCUCUGGAGCCAUAUUUCCUCCUAAAGAAGCAAAACAAAAUCUUAUGCUUAUCUAAUCAAGCAGAAGAGUCACUGUCCAUAAGGGAUGAGUGCUGUCUCUUCUCAGCAGCUGUACAAACUUGGAUGAUUGACAUAACUUCUCCCAGCCUCAGUUUACUCAUCUGUAAAAUGGGUAUAACAGUUCCUUCUUCACUAGGUCCUGAGUAUAGAAGAGGCCUUGCACAGGGUAAAUGCUCAAUGGGUAAUAACCAUAUUCUGCCUCAGACACUGGUCCAUGAGGGGUACAAGGAUAGGUGAGGCCCAUUUCUGCUCCCCAGGACUAGGAUGUACUGGAGUAGGAAGACACAUGGACAGUUAAUUAUACAGUAAAGCAGAAAGUCACUCAGUCAUGUUCGACUCUUCGCAACCCCGUGGACUGUAGCCCGCCAAGCUCCUCUGUCCAUGGAAUUCCCCUGGCAAGAAUACUGGAAUGGGUAGCCAUUCCCUUCUCCAGGGGUCUUCCUAACCCAGAGAUCGAUCCCUGGUCUCCUGCAUUGUAGGCAGAUUCUUUACCAUCUGAACCACCAGAGAAGCCAGAACCAAGGGCUAAACAGAGGUGUCUGUCAGAGGAAGGGGGGAAUUUUUCUCUCUGGGAAUAGAGAAGGCUCUUAGAACUAUAUUUUAAACUGGGUCUUAAAGAAGGAACAGAAUUUCAGGAGAGGAAGGGGUUAGGGAACACAAUGCUGAGUCACAGAUCAAACAGGGAACGCUUAAGAAAAAGCCCUCUGGGUAUACACGAGCUCGGUAAUUCAUCCACAAGCUUUGGAGAGAUACAUAGAAGGAAGGAUCAUCUCCUAGGUUAAAAAACAAAGUCUAUAAAUGCAAACUGUUGUAGUUAGGCUAGUGUAUCAGAUGAAAAUGAAGAUAUGAAAUUGAGAACUAUGAGAAAACAUGUAUAAAAUAAAAUCUCUCCUAUUUUGAAAAGUUUCAAUCAAAGUAAGACACACUUCCUUAGGGAUUAUGAGAAAUCUAUGGAAAAUAGAAAAGUUAGCCAUAAAAUCUGAAAGAGGUGAAACUGUGCUCAGUUUCCUAAAAUAUACAGCAACAUUCUCAUUCCUAAAGUAUUUUCUAAAAUUACAUCUUUUUUUUUUCUUUUAAUUGCCAAGAAACUGUUGAGCUGAUUCAUAUCCAAGUUGUCACUGAAGAAUUUUGAUGUUUUAGGAAUGGUGGAAAUGGCCACAGUCAUGAAAAAUAAAAAUGACUUGACCCAAGCAUUUUAGAAGCAGAGUUUAUUUCCACCAAGCUAUCCCCAGCCAAUAUUAAGCAUAAAUUAUAUAGCAGUUCUCUGAAAGUGCACAGAAAAAUAGACCACCGUCAUUCCCAUGGAUGAUCGAUAUUUACCUUUGGAAGGAUUGUUCAAAGGUCACAGGAGUCUUCUGUGAGGAAUUCAGCCACAGUUUGAUGGGAGAAUAGUGGUAUCCAAAGAAUUUACAAGUGAUAAAAAGCCCACACAGACUAAGUCACCUCUUGCUCCUCCCCUGCCCCACCCCCACCCCCACCCCCCCACCCCCCCAACCCCCCACCCCCCGUAGUAAAUCUCACCUGAACUCAUCAAAUUCUACUCUCUAGAACGUCAGGAACUCAGGAGACAAGUUUGAGAUAGCUAAAUUUAUUCACUUAAAAAUAUGGUAGACCGUAUGCAAAGGCCUUCAUAUGUGUUCAUUUAACCCUUGAUUCUAAAAGAAGUCCGUUUUAGUAUUCCUGUUUUGUACGUAAGAUUUCUUAAAUGCAGAGAGAUUACAUUAUCGCCCCAGGGUCUCAGAGGCUAAUAAAGCAAUGGAGCAGGGUUUAAACCCAGGGGGCUAACUCGAGGGCCCACCUUCUCAGCCUCUGUGCUUUUAAGGCCCCAAUUCGGAGUCAUCUGCAUACAAAUAGUAAGUGAUAUGGGGACUGUACCGUUUGUUUCCAUCCUAACUAGGAUUUUUAGGGGAAGGGUGGAGAUCAACAAUUAGUCUGGAAAAACAGAGGUAAACCAGAACUGUGGGGACAAAGAGGGCUUUCUGUUCACCUUACGGGUGGACGCAGAGAGCGUGGAUGAAUUUACCGAGGGAAAGAAUGCUGAAGAAAAUAAGGAGGGAGGCAGUGAGUGGGCCUUGAGAAAGACCGACGUUUGGGGAUCGCCAGAGAAAGAGAAACUCACGAAGGAUAUGGGGGAGGUGAGACAGGCGGCCACGGUGUCAGACUCUCGGGCAGGGUUACAGAGGGGAAUCUUCCGCAGUGCCCCAGCCCCGGGGAGCUAGGAAUGCUAUAGAUGUGAUAAGGCCCAAGAAGCAGCCGCUGAAAGGAACAAGGAAAUCGUUGGGGAUUUGCUGACAAACGUUUCUUCGCUUUGGUGGAGCUGGAAGCCAAAUUUCAAGUAAACGGAGGAGUGAGUGGGAGUCAACAGUUAUGGCAACUGACGAAGGGACCCAGCAUGGACUUCCCUUCACCUGAACUCUUUGAGGAACUAGAGCCUUGGCACCAUCUGCCCAUCUGCCUCCUUGGACAGUCCAGACAAAUUGGGAAAAACAUCCCCAGGAAAACUAGAGGCAUUUUCCUAAAGCAGACAGAAGGACGUGAGAAGCCGUUGUAUGGUACGGCUGGAUCACAGAUGGGAGGGAUCUAAAAUUCACUAUGGCAAUUGAAAGGGCUGAAAAAAAAAUCACCUAUUUCUGUAAUGGCAGACAUUCUAGAAGCAUCACACAUGAAAUGAACAAAUCCGCUCCUUAAGCUCUCCAACCCAGGGAUCGAACCCACACCCCUGGCAUGGGAAGGUGAAGUCUUAACCACUGGACCUCCAGGGAAGUCCUUCUUCAAUUUUUAAAAAAAAUUAGAUAUUUUGUAUAUGGGAUUUUAAACUCAAAGGUGAUACAAUUUCUCUUCCAAGUGAAAUACUAGACAGAGAGCAAGGCAUAUUCUGGCUGCUGUUCCAACCAGAUACUUAAAAACUGCCUUAGAAGAGAAAAGUAGGGCCCUUCUCCAAAGACCAGGCCUUGCUUCUUGGGUGAGAGAGAUAAGGAGCAGAAGGCCAGCUUGGGGACAAAGGGCUUUGUGAAAAACACCGAGGAACAGAGCAGUCCUCUUGUUUUCCCACAAGAAUGAUGACAAUCUACCUUAAAUCCUUUUUGGAAUAAGCAGCAGGGUUUGGGAGGUGGUAUUGAGUGAAUAAAUUAAUAUAUAAUCAGAUCAGAUCAGAUCAGUCGCUCAGUCGUGUCCGACUCUUUGCGACCCCAUGAAUCGCAGCACGCCAGGCCUCC
RNA transcript from Bubalus bubalis (water buffalo), 5819 nucleotides. It is a transcript of the gene named PC-esterase domain containing 1B, with no coding region annotated. The transcript is spliced from 9 exons. NCBI's taxonomy places the organism in Eukaryota, Metazoa, Chordata, Mammalia, Artiodactyla, Bovidae. The record is from RefSeq and is a predicted model, not a curated record.